GUCCAAUCUGCUGUGGACGUGGGAUACAAACACGGCUGUUGAGGCCCAUCACGGAGCGACGUUGGCUCUUACGCGGUUCAGCGUGAGCUGAGAGGACUCCCCAGGCAGAGCAGGAUGCCCCAGUGUUAAAAUGAAGUUUUCACAGAAAGAUAUCCACAAAUCAGAAUCUCCAGCCCUGCAUAAUUCAACAGUUUGACUCAGUGAAUGUUUAUGGAAUUCCCGAAGGCAGAGCUGCUUGAUUUGGGAUCUAGGACCACCUACACCAUCUGAGAUGUUUCUUAAAAAGACAAACUCCUGGGACCUACUCCAGACCUACUGAAAAACAUCAUCUCCCAGGGGUGGAAGGAUGAAGAAAUUCAUAGAUCUAUACAAUGGAGUACUAUUCAGCAAUAAAAAGGAAAAACUACUGAUAGACACAACAUGAAUCUCAAAU
RNAcentral lists this long non-coding RNA (433 nucleotides) under Equus asinus (donkey). Its description in RNAcentral is "lncRNA (ENSEASG00005038761.1)". The record is from RNAcentral. Lineage: Eukaryota; Metazoa; Chordata; Mammalia; Perissodactyla; Equidae.